RNAcentral lists this unclassified non-coding RNA (300 nucleotides) under plant metagenome. Its description in RNAcentral is "partial contains 5.8S ribosomal RNA, internal transcribed spacer 2, and large subunit ribosomal RNA". The stretch from base 1 to 106 matches the Rfam family "5.8S ribosomal RNA", at positions 49 to 154 of the family's 154-position model. The record is from RNAcentral.
CGAAAUGCGCUAAGUAAUGUGAAUUGCAGAAUUCAGUGAAUCAUCGAAUCUUUGAACGCACAUUGCGCCCCCUGGUAUUCCGGGGGGCAUGCCUGUUCGAGCGUCAUUUCACCACUCAAGCCUCGCUUGGUAUUGGGCGACGCGGUCCGCCGCGCGCCUCAAAUCGACCGGCUGGGUCUUUCGUCCCCUCAGCGUUGUGGAAACUAUUCGCUAAAGGGUGCCGCGGGAGGCCACGCCGUAAAACAACCCCAUUUCUAAGGUUGACCUCGGAUCAGGUAGGGAUACCCGCUGAACUUAAGC